Small nucleolar RNA from Nycticebus coucang (slow loris), 135 nucleotides. RefSeq annotates it as small nucleolar RNA SNORA70. The record is from RefSeq and is a predicted model, not a curated record. NCBI's taxonomy places the organism in Eukaryota, Metazoa, Chordata, Mammalia, Primates, Lorisidae. The transcript has a single exon.
AGGUGUUUAUUAAAUAGUACUGUGAGACUUUCCUCAUGGGGGCCUGGUGUGCAACAGCUGCAAGCAGCAGCCUACCUGGCAGUGUAUGCAGCCUGUUGCUUGUAUGCGUUGCUCUAAGAGACCGUGGAGACAGUU